GAAUGCUGACAUAAGUAACGAUAAAGCGGGUGAAAAGCCCGCUCGCCGGAAGACCAAGGGUUCCUGUCCAACGUUAAUCGGGGCAGGGUGAGUCGACCCCUAAGGCGAGGCCGAAAGGCGUAGUCGAUGGGAAACAGGUUAAUAUUCCUGUACUUGGUGUUACUGCGAAGGGGGGACGGAGAAGGCUAUGUUAGCCGGGCGACGGUUGUCCCGGUUUAAGCAUGUAGGCUGGUUGU
RNAcentral lists this ribosomal RNA (236 nucleotides) under Klebsiella pneumoniae. RNAcentral describes it as "partial 23S ribosomal RNA". It matches the Rfam family "Bacterial large subunit ribosomal RNA", at positions 1292 to 1532 of the family's 2925-position model. Lineage: Bacteria; Pseudomonadati; Pseudomonadota; Gammaproteobacteria; Enterobacterales; Enterobacteriaceae. The record is from RNAcentral.